AGUCGACGAACCACGCGCGGUGAGUGAGAGUUUCGAUCGUAACUCUGUGUAGAAGACAGUGCGUCGAAUAGGCUGCGCUGACGUAACUUACCAGAAAGCACGGCUACUACGUGCAGCAGCGCGGUAAUACGUAGCUGGCAGCGUGUACAGAAUAUGGGCGUAAAGCGCGCGCAGGUGGUUUCUUAAGUCUGAUGUGAAAGCCCACGGCUCAACCGUGGAGGGUCAUUGGAAACUGGGGAACUUGAGUGCAGAAGAGGAAAGUGGAACUCCAAGUGUAGCGGUGAAAUGCGUAGAUAUUUGGAGGAACACCAGUGGCGAAGGCGACUUUCUGGUCUGUAACUGACACUGAGGCGCGAAAGCGUGGGGAGCAAACAGGAUUAGAUACCGUGGUAGUCCACGCCGUAAACGAUGAGUGCUAAGUGUUAGAGGGUUUCCGCCCUUUAGUGCUGCAGCUAACGCAUUAAGCACUCCGCCUGGGGAGUACGGUCGCAAGACUGAAACUCAAAGGAAUUGACGGGGGCCCGCACAAGCGGUGGAGCAUGUGGUUUAAUUCGAAGCAACGCGAAGAACCUUACCAGGUCUUGACAUCCUCUGACAACCCUAGAGAUAGGGCUUUCCCCUUCGGGGGACAGAGUGACAGGUGGUGCAUGGUUGUCGUCAGCUCGUGUCGUGAGAUGUUGGGUUAAGUCCCGCAACGAGCGCAACCCUUGAUCUUAGUUGCCAGCAUUCAGUUGGGCACUCUAAGAUGACUGCCGGUGACAAACCGGAGGAAGGUGGGGAUGACGUCAAAUCAUCAUGCCCCUUAUGACCUGGGCUACACACGUGCUACAAUGGACGGUACAAAGGGCUGCAAGACCGCGAGGUUUAGCCAAUCCCAUAAAACCGUUCUCAGUUCGGAUUGUAGGCUGCAACUCGCCUACAUGAAGCUGGAAUCGCUAGUAAUCGCGGAUCAGCAUGCCGCGGUGAAUACGUUCCCGGGCCUUGUACACUCCGCCCGUCACACCACGAGAGUUUGUAACACCCGAAGUCGUAGAGGUAA
Molecule: ribosomal RNA, 1039 nt
Filed under: Rossellomorea marisflavi
Lineage: Bacteria; Bacillati; Bacillota; Bacilli; Caryophanales; Bacillaceae
Description: bacterial SSU rRNA
Rfam family: Bacterial small subunit ribosomal RNA
Source: RNAcentral